Molecule: long non-coding RNA, 951 nt
Organism: Canis lupus familiaris (dog)
Lineage: Eukaryota; Metazoa; Chordata; Mammalia; Carnivora; Canidae
Exons: 2
Source: RefSeq, a predicted model, not a curated record
AUGGCUUUGCUAUGUGGUGCCAUUAGUCACCUCUCUUAAUUUUUCUGUCUGUAAAAAAGGGGGUUGACAAUGGAGUGCCUAGCAAUCUCACUGGUGAGGCAUCAGUGGAUCAAGGAAGGAAUGAGUGACAAGGUGACUUUUAAAGGGUAAAACCUGGAUUCCUGUGAUUUUUUGAGUACUUAUCCAGGAACUAGAAAAGUCGUGGAUCCUUUUUCUCAUCACCUGCCCUGGGAUGGAUAUCUGCAUCUCCCUAAAAUUCCUGUGUUGAAGCCUUCAUCCGCAGUGUGACAUCUGGAGGGAGAAACUGACGUAGGUUCCCACCACCAAUUUCUCCAGUAUCUUGUUAUCUCAUAUGCUUAUCGAAGACUGCAUGCUCAGCUUACUCAAGAACAGGCUGCAGUGAAUGGGUAAAUGAGAACGUGGACGUGAGAAGCAUCACUGCGAACAAGUUCUGCGUUGCUGGAGGGCCGACUGCCACCACACAGCUCUCCUCCGUCUUCAGAGGGACGGCAACAGCUACUUCCUACACGUGGUGCUUGCCUUGAAGACGCCUUCAAAAGUAACUCAUGAAAAAUCUUGACUCACAGCUGAGCACACCAAUCCGCUUUACUGAUGCUUUGUAGUGGCUCCAGGUCAAGACUAGUCAACAUCCCAUCUCUGGUAUGGGAGUCGUUGCGACCUGUGGGCUGCGGGGCCUCAUGGCAGGUUCUCUAUUGUUUGGGGCUCUCAGUCCAGACGUGCUGGCCUCAGCUAGCCACGAUAGGGCAGCUCCCUCCCAGCUCGCUCACUAUAAGAAUUAAGGUGUUGGGAAAGACUUAGGAACCCCCGUUUUCUUCUGAGCCCUUGUUUUCAUGGGCACACACUGCUUUUUUCUUUGUUUCGAGGAAUUGCACUGUUAAUAAAAAUAAUUGUGUAAAAACAAAGUAAAGACAAAUAAAAAAUUAAAAAUCA